This 89-nucleotide microRNA precursor is filed under the name Sorghum bicolor (sorghum). RNAcentral describes it as "MIR5565 microRNA precursor family". It matches the Rfam family "MIR5565 microRNA precursor family". The record is from Rfam by way of RNAcentral. Lineage: Eukaryota; Viridiplantae; Streptophyta; Magnoliopsida; Poales; Poaceae.
GUAGUCGGAUUCACAUCAAUCCACAUGUGUUGGAGUGGAACUUGAACUAAAUUCUACCCCAGCACAUGUGGAUUGAGGUGAAUCAGACA